GGAAAAAAGACUACGUGACCGAAAGACUGAGACAGAAGAAAGUUUACUGAAGCGUUUGACGGCAGCCCGUGUAGAUUUGGAACUUAGUAAAGAGCCCGGCCUGUUUGACUUGGUCAUUAUAAACGAUGAUUUAGAAAAAGCCUAUUCUGAAUUGAAGGAGAUACUCCUGGAGGAAAUCAAGAAGACCCAAGAAUCCAGGAAGUCCUGAGCUGAGCCUGCUCGGAGAGGCUUUUAACUUUGCACAUCAUUCCCGAAGCAUGUCACACUGUUUUAUUCCAAGAGACAUUCCCUUUAGGCUGAUCCUCCUCCUGAGUUACUCUAGGAUGUUUCUAUUAAAAGGAAAGAAAA
This is a non-coding RNA of Balearica regulorum gibbericeps (East African grey crowned-crane), 348 nucleotides long. NCBI's taxonomy places the organism in Eukaryota, Metazoa, Chordata, Aves, Gruiformes, Gruidae. The record is from RefSeq and is a predicted model, not a curated record.